Molecule: ribosomal RNA, 478 nt
Filed under: uncultured Acidovorax sp.
Lineage: Bacteria; Pseudomonadati; Pseudomonadota; Betaproteobacteria; Burkholderiales; Comamonadaceae
Description: bacterial SSU rRNA
Rfam family: Bacterial small subunit ribosomal RNA
Source: RNAcentral
CAAAUGAAUUGACGGGGACCCGCACAAGCGGUGGAUGAUGUGGUUUAAUUCGAUGCAACGCGAAAACCUUACCACCUUUGACAUGUACGGAAUCCUUUAGAGAUAGAGGAGUGCUCGAAAGAGAACCGUAACACAGGUGCUGCAUGGCUGUCGUCAGCUCGUGUCGUGAGAUGUUGGGUUAAGUCCCGCAACGAGCGCAACCCUUGUCAUUAGUUGCUACAUUCAGUUGGGCACUCUAAUGAGACUGCCGGUGACAAACCGGAGGAAGGUGGGGAUGACGUCAAGUCCUCAUGGCCCUUAUAGGUGGGGCUACACACGUCAUACAAUGGAUGGUACAAAGGGUCGCCAACCCGCGAGGGGGAGCCAAUCCCAUAAAGCCAUUCGUAGUCCGGAUCGCAGUCUGCAACUCGACUGCGUGAAGUCGGAAUCGCUAGUAAUCGUGGAUCAGAAUGUCACGGUGAAUACGUUCCCGGGUCUU